GUGCGUGUGUGUGUGUGUGAGGCACGUGGCGGCCGCUCUCAUUUCCGGGAGUGUCCACACCGUCUGGUCCCUGAGGAUGAACGAUGCUUCUUGUUUGUGGGGGGAGGAGGAGUCUUCAAGGUUAAGCUCUUGGGACCUGGGCAGAGGGCAAAAGCACUCAAUCCCCUGGCCGUGUCCCGACUGAGACGGACGUGGGACGGAUGUCUGUGAGAGAUAAGAGAGAAACGGUGGACGAGAGAGAAGAUGCGGCGCUGGCGUGUCUGAGAGAUUGAAUGUUCAGUAUGUUCACAAGCCUAUGAUGAUGAUGGUUUCUUCUGGAUUUUAAAUAAAAAUCGAUCCUGUAUGUUUGCUGAGGUGUUUUUUCUUUGGGGUGAGGGGUGCAGGAGAGGGUCAUCAUGCUAAUCGCUCUGUCUGGCUGUCUGGUCGCCACUGCAGCUCAUCUUUAAAUGACCUUUAUCGCAUCGGCAGCAGAAGGAAGGGCCGGGAUUAUCAGUUGUUCCCACACCAGUUUCUUUUGGUGUGCGAUUAACAAUCGAUUAAUUCUUGAUUU
Molecule: long non-coding RNA, 550 nt
Organism: Sinocyclocheilus anshuiensis
Lineage: Eukaryota; Metazoa; Chordata; Actinopteri; Cypriniformes; Cyprinidae
Exons: 2
Source: RefSeq, a predicted model, not a curated record